This 493-nucleotide ribosomal RNA is filed under the name uncultured bacterium. RNAcentral describes it as "partial 16S ribosomal RNA". It matches the Rfam family "Bacterial small subunit ribosomal RNA", at positions 30 to 523 of the family's 1533-position model. The record is from RNAcentral.
AUUGAACGCUGGCGGCAUGCCUUACACAUGCAAGUCGAACGGUAACAGGUUAAGCUGACGAGUGGCGAACGGGUGAGUAAUAUAUCGGAACGUGCCCAGUCGUGGGGGAUAACGUAGCGAAAGCUACGCUAAUACCGCAUACGAUCUACGGAUGGAAGCGGGGGAUCGCAAGACCUCGCGCGAUUGGAGCGGCCGAUAUCAGAUUAGGUUGUUGGUGAGGUAAAAGCCCACCAAGCCUGCGAUCUGUAGCUGGUCUGAGAGGACGACCAGCCACACUGGAACUGAGACACGGUCCAGACUCCUACGGGAGGCAGCAGUGGGGAAUUUUGGACAAUGGACGCAAGUCUGAUCCAGCAAUGCCGCGUGCAGGACGAAGGCCUUCGGGUUGUAAACUGCUUUUGUACGGAACGAAACGGUGAGCUCUAAUACAGUUUGCUAAUGACGGUACCGUAAGAAUAAGCACCGGCUAACUACGUGCCAGCCGCCGCGGUAA